This 494-nucleotide ribosomal RNA is filed under the name uncultured bacterium. Its description in RNAcentral is "partial 16S ribosomal RNA". It matches the Rfam family "Bacterial small subunit ribosomal RNA", at positions 28 to 507 of the family's 1533-position model. The record is from RNAcentral.
GACGAACGCUGGCGGCGUGCUUAACACAUGCCAGUCGAACGGAAAGGCCUGCUUUCCCUUGUGGAUUGCGGGUACUCGAGUGGCGAACGGGUGAGUAACACGUGAGUGAUCUGCCCCCAACUUGGGUAUAAGCCUGGGAAACUGGGUCUAAUUCCCGAUAGGACUGCAGGGUGGUGCCUGUGGUGGAAAACGAUUUUCUAGUGGUUGGGGAUGAGCUCGCGGCCUAUCAGCUUGUUGGUGGGGUAAUGGCCUACCAAGGCGGCGACGGGUAGCCGGCCUGAGAGGGUGGACGGCCACAUUGGGACUGAGAUACGGCCCAGACGCCUACGGGAGGCAGCAGUGGGGAAUAUUGCACAAUGGGCGGAAGCCUGAUGCAGCGACGCCGCGUGGGGGAUGACGGCCUUCGGGUUGUAAACUCCUUUCGACCGCGAGGAAGCCACCUGGUUGGAAGGGUGGUGACGGUAGUGGUAGAAGAAGCACCGGCUAACUACGUG